UACGUAGGGUGCGAGCGUUGCCCGGAAUUAUUGGGCGUAAAGAGCUCGUAGGCGGUUUGUCGCGUCGACUGUGAAAACCUGGGGCUUAACUCUGGGCCUGCAGUCGAUACGGGCAGACUUGAGUUCGGUAGGGGAGACUGGAAUUCCUGGUGUAGCGGUGAAAUGCGUAGAUAUCAAGCGGAACACCGGUGGCGAAGGCGGCCUUCUGGACGAGUACUGACGCUGAGACGCGAAAGCGUGGGUAGCAAACAGG
RNAcentral lists this ribosomal RNA (253 nucleotides) under uncultured bacterium. RNAcentral describes it as "partial 16S ribosomal RNA". It matches the Rfam family "Bacterial small subunit ribosomal RNA", at positions 524 to 776 of the family's 1533-position model. The record is from RNAcentral.